GGAGAGGUGGCCGAGCGGUCGAAGGCGCAGCACUGGAAAUGCUGUAACACCCGAAAGGUGUUCGGGGGUUCGAAUCCCCCCCUCUCCG
Desertifilum sp. is the source of this 88-nucleotide transfer RNA. It matches the Rfam family "tRNA". Rfam says of the family: Transfer RNA (tRNA) molecules are approximately 80 nucleotides in length. Their secondary structure includes four short double-helical elements and three loops (D, anti-codon, and T loops). NCBI's taxonomy places the organism in Bacteria, Bacillati, Cyanobacteriota, Cyanophyceae, Desertifilales, Desertifilaceae. The record is from Rfam.